This 137-nucleotide ribosomal RNA is filed under the name Escherichia coli. Its description in RNAcentral is "partial 16S ribosomal RNA". It matches the Rfam family "Bacterial small subunit ribosomal RNA", at positions 1 to 130 of the family's 1533-position model. Lineage: Bacteria; Pseudomonadati; Pseudomonadota; Gammaproteobacteria; Enterobacterales; Enterobacteriaceae. The record is from RNAcentral.
AAAUUGAAGAGUUUGAUCAUGGCUCAGAUUGAACGCUGGCGGCAGGCCUAACACAUGCAAGUCGAACGGUAACAGGAAGCAGCUUGCUGCUUUGCUGACGAGUGGCGGACGGGUGAGUAAUGUCUGGGAAACUGCCC